This 780-nucleotide ribosomal RNA is filed under the name uncultured bacterium. RNAcentral's name for it is "bacterial SSU rRNA". It matches the Rfam family "Bacterial small subunit ribosomal RNA", at positions 8 to 796 of the family's 1533-position model. The record is from RNAcentral.
AGAGUUUGAUCAUGGCUCAGGAUGAACGCUAGCGGCAGGCCUAAUACAUGCAAGUCGAACGGAUGUAGUAAUACAUUAGUGGCGCACGGGUGCGUAACGCGUAUGCAACCUACCUGUUAGAGGGGGAUAGCCCGGGGAAACCCGGAUUAAUACCGCAUAAGAUAGGAGAAUGGCAUCAUUUUCUUAUGAAACAUUUAUGGCUAACAGAUGGGCAUGCGUAAGAUUAGCUAGUUGGUGAGGUAAAGGCUCACCAAGGCAAUGAUCUUUAGGGGUUCUGAGAGGAAGAUCCCCCACACUGGUACUGAGACAGGGACCAGACUCCUACGGGAGGCAGCAGUAGGGAAUAUUGGGCAAUGGUGGCAACACUGACCCAGCCAUGCCGCGUGCAGGAAGAAGGCCUUCUGGGUUGUAAACUGCUUUUGGAAGGGAACAAAACGGGCAUGCGUGCCAACUUGAGUGUACCUUCAGAAUAAGCACCGGCUAACUCCGUGCCAGCAGCCGCGGUAAUACGGAGGGUGCAAGCGUUGUCCGGAUUUAUUGGGUUUAAAGGGUGCGUAGGCGGCCUGUUAAGUCAGGGGUGAAAGACUGCAGCUCAACUGUAGCAGUGCCUUUGAUACUGAUGGGCUUGAGUCUAGAUGAGGCCGGCGGAAUGGGUGGUGUAGCGGUGAAAUGCAUAGAUACCAUCCAGAACACCGAUUGCGAAGGCAGCCGGCUAAACUAGCACUGACGCUGAGGCACGAAAGCGUGGGGAUCGAACAGGAUUAGAUACCCUAGUAGUCC